This 29-nucleotide non-coding RNA is filed under the name Mus musculus (house mouse). The record is from RNAcentral. Lineage: Eukaryota; Metazoa; Chordata; Mammalia; Rodentia; Muridae.
UACUGUGCUUGCUACUACUGUUACAUGCU